Molecule: unclassified non-coding RNA, 151 nt
Filed under: uncultured Sordariomycetes
Lineage: Eukaryota; Fungi; Ascomycota; Sordariomycetes
Description: sequence contains ITS2
Source: RNAcentral
CCACCCUCAGGCCCCGCCUGGUGUUGGGGACCUGCGCCCUGCGCAGCCCCCUAAAGACAGCGGCGGUACCGGCCCGGUCCCGAGCGUAGUAGCACACGUCGCUCUGGGCGCCGGGCGAGUGCCCGCCGUAAAACCCCCGACCUACAGAAGG